GAGGUACGGCUCACCAAGGCCACGAUCAGUAGGGGUUCUGAGAGGAAGGUCCCCCACAUUGGAACUGAGACACGGUCCAAACUCCUACGGGAGGCAGCAGUGAGGAAUAUUGGUCAAUGGACGAGAGUCUGAACCAGCCAAGUAGCGUGCAGGAUGACGGCCCUAUGGGUUGUAAACUGCUUUUGUUUGGGAAUAAUCGACAUUACGUGUAAUGUUUUGCAUGUACCAUUCGAAUAAGGACCGGCUAAUUCCCGUGCCAGCAGCCGCGGUAAAU
Molecule: ribosomal RNA, 274 nt
Filed under: uncultured Prevotella sp.
Lineage: Bacteria; Pseudomonadati; Bacteroidota; Bacteroidia; Bacteroidales; Prevotellaceae
Description: partial 16S ribosomal RNA
Rfam family: Bacterial small subunit ribosomal RNA
Source: RNAcentral